This 339-nucleotide small RNA is filed under the name Histoplasma capsulatum var. duboisii H88. RNAcentral's name for it is "Histoplasma capsulatum H88 hypothetical RNA". The record is from RNAcentral. Lineage: Eukaryota; Fungi; Ascomycota; Eurotiomycetes; Onygenales; Ajellomycetaceae.
AUCAAUUACUGUUGAAGGAAGUAUAUACAUACUAGUAUACAGCAGGCGCAAGCCUGCCAAUUCAUCUAUAUUCCACCCUUUCCAUAGUUACACAAGCUUGAUGUAAACUCUCAUCACGUUUAAUUGAUAAAAAUGAAAAAAGAAAAGAAAAUGAAAGAAAAUACAAUAGAAUAAAAUAAAAUAAAAAAUGAAGAAUAUGAAACCGACAUCAAUGUUGCUCUUCUUUUGGCAACCCGACCACCGCCGCGCCGUGAGCAUACGCCUUAUUCCUCUCAUUGACCCUGUCAAUAAACCCCCUGAUAUGCUCCGGUACCUCUUUAACCUCAUUCCCCGGCGCGG